This 400-nucleotide unclassified non-coding RNA is filed under the name uncultured Gammaproteobacteria bacterium. RNAcentral's name for it is "contains 16S-23S intergenic spacer region". Lineage: Bacteria; Pseudomonadati; Pseudomonadota; Gammaproteobacteria. The record is from RNAcentral.
GGACUACAGGGGUAUCUAAUCCUGUUUGCUCCCCACGCUUUCGUGCAUGAGCGUCAGUACAGGUCCAGGGGAUUGCCUUCGCCAUCGGUGUUCCUCCGCAUAUCUACGCAUUUCACUGCUACACGCGGAAUUCCAUCCCCCUCUACCGUACUCUAGCCAUGCAGUCACAAAUGCAGUUCCCAGGUUGAGCCCGGGGAUUUCACAUCUGUCUUACAUAACCGCCUGCGCACGCUUUACGCCCAGUAAUUCCGAUUAACGCUCGCACCCUACGUAUUACCGCGGCUGCUGGCACGUAGUUGGCCGGUGCUUCUUCUGCAGGUACCGUCACUCUCGCUUCGUCCCUGCUGAAAGAGGUUUACAACCCGAAGGCCGUCAUCCCUCACGCGGCGUCGCUGCAUCA